This 398-nucleotide ribosomal RNA is filed under the name Tuberculobruchus albizziarum. RNAcentral's name for it is "partial 12S small subunit ribosomal RNA". The record is from RNAcentral. Lineage: Eukaryota; Metazoa; Arthropoda; Insecta; Coleoptera; Chrysomelidae.
UAAACUAGGAUUAGAUACCCUAUUAUUGUAAAUGUAAAUUUAUUAAACUAAAUUAGUAUUAGUUAUUUUCUUGAAAAUUAAAAAAUUUGGCGGUAUUUUAGUCUUUUCAGAGGAACCUGUCCUGUAAUUGAUAGUCCACGAUUAUAUAUACUUUAGUUUUAAGUUUACAUAUCGUCGUAGAUUGAAUAUUUUAAUAGAAUUUUAAUAUUCAAAAGUUUUUAUUAAAAAAUAAAUCAGAUCAAGGUGUAGCUUAUAUUUAAGAAGAGAUGGGUUACAUUUAAUUUAUUUAGGGAUAAUUUUUUUAAAAGAAGUUUGAAUUUGGAUUUGAUAGUAAUUAAAUAUAUUUAUUUAAAAUGAUUAUAGCUCUAGAAUAUGUACACAUCGCCCGUCGCUCUUAA